AGAGUUUGAUUCUGGCUCAGGAUGAACGCUGGCGGCGUGCCUAACACAUGCAAGUCGAACGGGGUAGCAAUACCUAGUGGCGGACGGGUGAGUAACGCGUGAGAAUUUGCCUUCAGGAUGGGGACAACAGCGGGAAACUGCUGCUAAUACCCGAUAGGCUGAAAAGUGAAAGAUUUAUCGCCUGAAGAGAAGCUCGCGUCUGAUUAGCUAGUUGGUAGUGUAAGGGACUACCAAGGCGACGAUCAGUAGCUGGUCUGAGAGGAUGAGCAGCCACACUGGGACUGAGACACGGCCCAGACUCCUACGGGAGGCAGCAGUGGGGAAUUUUCCGCAAUGGGCGAAAGCCUGACGGAGCAACGCCGCGUGAGGGAGGAAGGCCUUUGGGUUGUAAACCUCUUUUCUAGGGGAAGAAGCAAGUGACGGUACCCUAGGAAUCAGCAUCGGCUAACUCCGUGCCAGCAGCCGCGGUAAUACGGAGGAUGCAAGCGUUAUCCGGAAUUAUUGGGCGUAAAGCGUCCGCAGGUGGCUAUACAAGUCUGCUGUCAAAGACCGUAGCUUAACUACGGAAAGGCGGUGGAAACUGUAAGGCUAGAGGCCGGUAGGGGUAGCGGGAAUUUCCAGUGUAGCGGUGAAAUGCGUAGAGAUUGGGAAGAACAUCGGUGGCGAAAGCGCGCUACUGGGCUGUGCCUGACACUGAGGGACGAAAGCUAGGGGAGCGAAAGGGAUUAGAUACCCCUGUAGUCCUAGCCGUAAACGAUGGAGACUAGGCGUAGCUUGUAUCGACCCAAGCUGUGCCGAAGCUAACGCGUUAAGUCUCCCGCCUGGGGAGUACGCACGCAAGUGUGAAACUCAAAGGAAUUGACGG
RNAcentral lists this ribosomal RNA (865 nucleotides) under uncultured bacterium. RNAcentral's name for it is "bacterial SSU rRNA". It matches the Rfam family "Bacterial small subunit ribosomal RNA", at positions 8 to 916 of the family's 1533-position model. The record is from RNAcentral.